CAGAGUUAUCCAACUCCCAAACCCAUGUGAACUUAUCUCUUUGUUGCCUCGGCGCAAGCUACCCGGGACCUCGCGCCCCGGGCGGCCCGCCGGCGGACAAACCAAAACUCUUGCUAUCUUAGUUGAUUAUCUGAGUGUCUUAUUUAAUAAGUCA
RNAcentral lists this unclassified non-coding RNA (154 nucleotides) under soil metagenome. RNAcentral describes it as "partial internal transcribed spacer 1". The record is from RNAcentral.